Molecule: long non-coding RNA, 6444 nt
Organism: Musa acuminata AAA Group (dessert banana)
Lineage: Eukaryota; Viridiplantae; Streptophyta; Magnoliopsida; Zingiberales; Musaceae
Exons: 3
Source: RefSeq, a predicted model, not a curated record
CCAUCAUCAAAGGAGGAGCGAGGCCAAAAUGCAAACAGUGGGAGAGAGGAGUAGACGACUAGGUGCCGAUCCUGGCGGCGAUCUGCGGAGGCCAGCACGAGGCACGGUCCUCCUUCCUGUCGGAGAUAGCUAACCCGAUGUGCAGGCACAGGUUAUGCAACAACGUAGUGUGCCUGCUUGGCACACUGCACCAACGCUUGGGACCGACGAUGCUUGCAUGGUCCUUCGCUGGACUGGACGUGUAGCCUGUCACCUUGUUGCCAGUCAUGCGACUCCGCAGGAAAAAUCAAGUUGUGUUGGAGGAACAUGUAAGAAGAUUGAACGUCGGGCCGGUGGAUCGGUCGACGUAUCGAUAGAAGGCUUCGGGCCGUGAAUUUGGAUAUCGAGCCAAGAAGAGCGGGUAUUGCACUAAGGAUAUCGAAGUUACGGAGUCAACUAGCUAAUUGGACAAUAGGCCACAGGAGAGGAUGAUGCGCCGAAGAAUCGGAUGAAGCGUCGAGGGACCAAUGACAUACCAAACAACUUGAUUAAUGCUUAUUAUUAAUUGUCUAGAUCGAAAUUUGUUUUAUAUGUGUAGGAUUAAUUACGAUGGCAAUAAGACAUACAGCAGGUGUUACGCCGGAGUCAAGACCAUAAUCACGUUGGAGGUUCAAGAGUUCGACGGAAGUCCGGAUGGUCGUUGGAGGUUCUGCGGGAACAAAUCCGAGAAGUCCAGGAGCUUGCCAAAGAAGCUCGUCGGAACUCACCAAGUGGAUCGUCGUAAGUCCAGGAGUUUGUCGGAAGUCCACCAGAAUAUCGCUGAGGGUUCGUUGGAUGUUCGCCGGAAGUUCACCGGAAGCUCGCCGGAAGAAGCGAUUGACACACUGGUAUAAGUUGCAGUAUUAAUGUCUUAAAUAUCGUAGUUAACAUGUCUUAAAUAUGAUAGAUUCGUCAUUAUAGAAAAUCAAUUCAAAGCGAAAGUAAUAUCAAUGAGAAUUUAUCGCCUAUGCCUCAAGACAAGUCAUCUGAUGGAUAAUCUUGUUGACACAUAUUAUGUUACUAUUAUUCUUAGAAAUUUAGUUUUUUAUCUAGAAUUGAUGUGUUAGGAUAUUAUUUUUCUUUUAUAACUAUAAAUCGUUAUAUUUUAUGAUUUAAUAAAAGUUGAUUCUAAAAUUUUAUGUGAUGAUUUAUAUAGAAUUAGUUUAAAUCUUGACACUGUAAUCAAAUGUUUAAUUGAAAUAUAGUUUUAAUAAUAAAGUAUCUUUGAUAUUAUGACAUAGACGUUUAGGACAUAUCUUAAAGGAAAAAAUUAAAAGAUUAGUGAAGAAUAAGAUUUUUUAGGAUAUAGACUUUAUUGAUUUUGAUGUUUGCAUAGAUUAUAUUAUGAGAAAGUAAAUUAAGCAUAUAAAGAAAAAUAUCAUAAGAAGUAAAGAACUCCUUAAGAUUAUUCAUAUUGAUAUUUAUGGUCUACUCCAUAUAUUUUUUUGAAUAGAGAAAGAUAUUUUAUCAUAUUUAUAGAUGAUAUGACCAUGUAUAUCUAAUACAUAAAAAGUCUAAAAAAUUAUUAACACUUUUGAAAUAUACAUAAAUGAGGUCGAGAGAUAAUUAGAUAAAAAAAAGUCAAGAUUGUUAGAUUUGAUAGAGAUGUAAAUUUUAUGAUAGAUAUGUUGAAUCCAAUUAGAAUAUUAGUCUUUUUACUAUAUUACUAAAAAAUGAGGUAUUUAUGCUUAGUAUGUCUUAACAAAUACUCUACGAUAGAAUGACAUUGUUAAAAAGUGAAAUUAUAUCUUAAACAGGGUUCAUAGUAAGUUGAUUGCAUUAACUCUGAAACCUAAUUUAAGACAUCUAUAUAUUUGAGGGUGUCUUAUAGGGAGUAUUUAAUCCAUAUGAAAAAAAAAAUAGAUCCAAAAAUUAUUUUUAAUAUUUUAUUUAUUAUCCAAAAAAAUCCAAUGGAUAUAAAUUUUAUUGUCCUAAUCAUAGUAUGCGGAUAGUAGAAUUAGUCAAUGUAAGAUUCUCAAAAAAGGAUAAAACUAGUGAGAGUAAAAAAAGUUUGAAUGAUCAAUUUUGAUAUUGAGGAGAUACAAGUUAAUACUUCUUUUCAUCUCCUAUUUGAGAUAUUACUAUUUCUCAAAUCAUUGAGAGAACUAAUGAGGAUGAAUAAUAAAAUAACAUUGAUAAACUCUCAUAUAAUAUUAAUAUCAUCGCUAAUGAUCUUAUAGAACAACUAUAAUCAAUAGUUUUGAGAAGAUCUCAAAGAAAAAAAUGACACGAUAUUUCUGAUGAUUAUGUGGUAUAUUUAUAAGAAUCAGAUUAUGACAUAGAAAUAAAAAGGAACCCCUUAUCAUUUUUACAAUUCAUAAAAUGUAGCAAUCUCGAAAACUAUAUGAUGCAAUGAAUGAAUAGUUAAAAUUGAUAAAUUAGAAUGGUGUUUAAAAAUUUAUUGAAUUAUCUCAUAAUUGUAAAAGAGUUAGUUACAAAUGAGGUUUUAAGACAAAACGUGACUCAAUAUCGAAUGAUAUAAAGUCAGACUUGUGACUAAAGACUUUUUUUAGAAAGAAUACAUUGAUUAUAAUGAGAUUUUUUUUAAUUUAUAUAAAGUACUUAUUAAGGAUUGUCAUAAUAAUAGUAGCUCAUUAUAAUCUUGAUUACAUCAUAUAUAUAUAUAUAUAUAUAUAUAUAUAAUAUUUUUAAAUAGAGAUUUGGAUGAAAAUAUCUAUAUAAUAAUCUGAAUGAUUCAUAGAAAAGAAAAAGGAAAGUUGGGCUUGCAAACUUUAUAAAUUUAUUUAUGACCUUAAAUAAGUUUUCAUGAUAUUAUUAUUUCAUUCAAACUUUAGAAAAAUACUAUUAAUUAGUAUAUAUAUUUGAACAUUAGUAGGAGUAAGUUUAUUAUAUUUAUCUUAUAUAUAAAUAUAUUUUGCUUACUAGUAGUGAUCUUGGUUUAUUGCACGAAAUUAAAAUAUUUUUUACUAAAAAUUUUAAUAUGGUUGAUAUAAAUGUGGUAACCUAUAUUAUUAGUAUUGAGAUAUUCAGGGAUAGUUUUCAAGGAUUGUUAGGAUUGUCUCAGAAAGGAUAUAUUGACUAACUCUUGGAGAGAUUUAGUAUGCAUCUUUGUGUAGCUAAUGAUAUACGUGAAAGAUUUAAUCAAAGUUAGUAUCCGAAAAAUGACUUAAAAAAGAAUCAAAUGAAGAAUAUUCCUCAUGCAUGUAUAGUUAAAAGUCUAUUAUAUACUCAAACCUGCACAAGACUAAAUAUUAAUUUUAUAGUUACAAUACUUAGUAGAUAUCAAAACAACCCAAGAAUAAAAUAUUAGAAAGUUGUAAAGAAAUUAAUGAUAUAUAUAUAAGGGAUAAAAGAUUAUAUAUUCAUAUAUAAGAGAUCAGAUUGACUUGUAGUGAUAGGAUAUUCAAAUAUUAAUUUUAUAAAUUAUUUUAAUAGUAGAAAGUCCACUUUAGGAUUUAUAUUCAUGUUAGUUGGAGGGAUAAUUUUUUUAAAAAUAUAAAGUAAUUAUUUAUUAUAUCAUCAAUAAUGGAAUCUAAAUUUAUAACAUGCUUUGAGGUCACAAAUUAAGUUUUAUGAUUGCGAAAUUUUAUUUUAGGACUUGGUGUGAUCGAUUCAAUUACCAAGCUAUUAAAGAUGUUUUAUAAUAAUAUUAUACUAUUUUUUUCUCUAGAAUAGCAAGUACUCUAUUAUCUUUAGAUAGAUCAAAAUAAAGUACUUGGUGAUUAGAGAAAGAGUUUAGAAACAACGUGUCAUUUGAUAACCUAAAUACUAUCUUAAUAAUUAUUUAUUAAUUUACUAAAGUUUUAAAAUUUAAAAUAUUUAACGAAUAUGUUCGUAGAAUAGAGCUUGUGAGUAAACUAUCAAGGAUAUAUUGAUGUAUAUUUAGAUGGAUGAUAUUAUUAAUUUUUUUUAUUUAAAUAAAGUUAUUUAUUUCUGUUAUCUUAUUUAUAUUUAUGCAUAUUAUAAUUGAAUGUAAUACUAUGAUUAUCUUAAUAAAAUAAAUUAUGAGGGUUAUUAUGGACUAUGUUAGGAAACAUUGAUAGUUUUAUGGUCUAUAGAAGAGUAUGACAUUAAUGACAUACAAUCACUCUAACUCGUAAUGAUAGUUAGACUUAAUAUAGUAUUAUAGUGGUUAUUAGAUUUAUUGACAUAUUUUAAAAUUCUUAGCCAUGUAUAAAAUAAUUUUUAAAUUUUUUUAGAAUCCAAUUGGAUAAAAUUAUUUUCAAAUAAAUUUUAUUUUUAUUUUGAUUUUAAUUUUUUUUAUAUCUUAUGAAUUAAUGAUUCAAAUGGAAGAUUAUUAGAUUAUGUGGUUCUAUCUAAUUAGAUAAAAUAUAUUAUAGAUAUAAUUGAAUUCUAAUGAUGUUUAUUAGCCAAUUGAAAUGAAGUCUAAUUAUGAUAGGUUUUUUCAGGAGAUGAACUUGAUGGGAGGAACUUUCCUAAUUAUUUAUCUUAGACCUUUCCUCUACUCUCGCUUGUAAAUAGAUAUGAUCUCUUAAAAACUUAACAUGGAUAUGUGACAUUAUCGAGUGAUUAUGGAUUUGUUUUCUUAUCUUCUCUUAGUCACGUGAGUAGUUAUUGAAAUAUUACAUAUUUUUUUUAUUUCCCCUAUCCCUAAUUUAUUAUUCAUAGUGAUUUUAUGAAAAAUAGAAUGAGAGGAGAAGUGAGUCUAAUUCUUGUAAAUCGACAUCACUGAGACUAAGAGAAGAUAAGAUGGCAUUGAAAUGUAUGUAUUAUAAAUUUAAUCUAUUAUUAUUUGAUUUUAAUUAUGACAUUAAAGUUUUUUACAUAAUAAUAACAUAUUAUGAAUUUUUAGGUUUACAAUGUCAUUUGGGUAAGGGGACCUUAUAAAGCUUGGCUCCCACUUUUCAAUAUGAUCCAAUUAUUAUAUAAUGCAUUAGUAAAACCUUGUUGGCGAGAAGUUAUCAUAUAUAAGAUCAGAAUGCAUGACUAAUUAUAGAACAUGUUUAAGGGUUAUAGAACAUUGACAACCUAACUACCUUGAAAUUAGUCGAGUUCAUGCUACCGCAAUUUGCUUUGUGCUUAAGUGUCACAUGACCCAACAUGUGACACUUAAGCACAAAGCAAAUUGUGGCCUACACUUGUAUAAUGAUAAUACAACUAUAGUCAAGUGUCACAUGACCCAACAUUUAUGCACAGGCUUAAGUCAAAAUGCAAGCCAAGACAAGCCAAAUCUAAGAGUAUGCGUUCCAUUUACAGCUGUCUUACUUGACUAAACCUAAGAGUGCAUGAGUGAUACUAUCUGACUUCGCACAAUAAUGUGCAAGUCAACAUUACAUAAUCUAGUAUAGUGUGCAUUAUACAAUGCAUAUAGAAUAAGUGGCCGACGUGGGCUAUCAACCCGAGCACUUACCCAUCUUUGUCAUCAGCCACCUUAACCAUCAUUACCCUCCUUGACGAUCGAAGCUGCCACCCUGUGUAGUUGGCAUAGAUGUGGAGCUCGAAGGUUCCACAUCAGCUUCCCAGAUCAUCGGUGAAUUGAGUUCAGCUUAAGAGUUUGCAUUGUGUUGUAGAAGAAUUUGCAUCGAGCAUUAUCAUGAGUGCUGAAGCUGAUAAGGAUGAGGAUUAAAAAGAGUCUUCAACCCAGGAGUUAGGAGAAUUGAUGGACACCAUAUCAUAUGUGUAAUGGCUGUCGAGUUUUGAGCACGGUAUGUGUAAUGCCUCAAACUUAGUAAAGUGGUAAAGAUUUGAACUGAUCAUAUAUUAUCAGAGUCAAUGAUCAUGAUGAAAAGAUACCUGUAGAUGGAGCCAGAGUGUAUAUCACGCUAAGAUUUGAUUUUUAGUUUAUAUUGUUUCUUGACGAGAACUUCAAACUUUAAGUAGGGAAGAUCGAUUCAGACGUCACAUGCAUCAUUUUUAGAUUUGAUGGAUGAUUUCUUUUAAAAGUAAUAUUUUCUGAUGAAUUAUCUGAUCCGAUCAUAUAAGGAAUGCUGUGCACAACACAAGGAAAAGAGCGAAGCGAGAGUAGAAACUAUCCAACUAAAGACAGCAGCAAAUCGAUCCCACCACCUGUUUUGAGAGAUUGUCAGAAUUCUCUUUUGAGAGCUGUGUUUCUACCUUCAACCUUCCACCCUAAAUGUUGAUGGUGGUAACUCGACGCUUUGAUAUAGGAACUGAUGUAUAAUAUAUAUACAUUGGGAUGAGAAUUUUGCACAUGAUAUAACAUGGAUUUAACUUGGUUGUGAAUGAACUUGUUCUCUUCUUCAUCAUUAUCAAGUGCUCUAACCAAUGUAACUUGUGAAGCAAACACUUGAAGAAACUACAGCAGGAUAGACGUACAUGACAUCUAAUGGUUCUCCAUGCUUUUACAUCUCCUUAGACUCGUCACAGCUGACAUCCAUGUCAUUCUUCCAUAGUAAGGUUCCAGAUCUAAUGAUCUUUCAGACAGUAACCUGAGAGAAAUAGCUUCUUUGUUUUUCUUUUCCUUGUACCAAGUUGAAACAUACU